GCAUCAGGUUCAGUGGUAGAAUGCUCACCUGCCAUGCGGGCGACCCGUGUUUGAUUCCCGGCCGAUGCA
Molecule: transfer RNA, 69 nt
Filed under: Heliconius melpomene (postman butterfly)
Lineage: Eukaryota; Metazoa; Arthropoda; Insecta; Lepidoptera; Nymphalidae
Description: tRNA HMEL012715
Rfam family: tRNA
About the family: Transfer RNA (tRNA) molecules are approximately 80 nucleotides in length. Their secondary structure includes four short double-helical elements and three loops (D, anti-codon, and T loops). Further hydrogen bonds mediate the characteristic L-shaped molecular structure. tRNAs have two regions of fundamental functional importance: the anti-codon, which is responsible for specific mRNA codon recognition, and the 3' end, to which the tRNAs corresponding amino acid is attached (by aminoacyl-tRNA synthetases). tRNAs cope with the degeneracy of the genetic code in two manners: having more than one tRNA (with a specific anti-codon) for a particular amino acid; and 'wobble' base-pairing, i.e. permitting non-standard base-pairing at the 3rd anti-codon position.
Source: RNAcentral